RNAcentral lists this ribosomal RNA (274 nucleotides) under uncultured bacterium. RNAcentral describes it as "partial 16S ribosomal RNA". It matches the Rfam family "Bacterial small subunit ribosomal RNA", at positions 523 to 796 of the family's 1533-position model. The record is from RNAcentral.
AUACGGAGGGUGCGAGCGUUGUUCGGAAUUAUUGGGCGUAAAGAGCAUGUAGGCGGUCUGUUAAGUCUGGUGUGAAAGCCCGGGGCUCUACCCCGGAAGUGCAUUGGAUACUGGCAGACUUGAGUAUGGGAGAGGAAAGCGGAAUUCCGAGUGUAGGAGUGAAAUCCGUAGAUAUUUGGAGGAACACCAGUGGCGAAGGCGGCUUUCUGGACCAAUACUGACGCUGAGAUGCGAAAGCGUGGGGAGCAAACAGGAUUAGAAACCCUAGUAGUCC